AUACGGAGGGAGCUAGCGUUGUUCGGAAUUACUGGGCGUAAAGCGCACGUAGGCGGCUUUGCAAGUUAGAGGUGAAAGCCCAGGGCUCAACCCUGGAAUUGCCUUUAAAACUGCAUCGCUAGAAUUGUGGAGAGGUAAGUGGAAUUCCGAGUGUAGAGGUGAAAUUCGUAGAUAUCCGGAAGAACACCAGUGGCGAAGGCGACUUACUGGACACAUAUUGACGCUGAGGUGCGAAAGCGUGGGGAGCAAACAGG
Molecule: ribosomal RNA, 254 nt
Filed under: uncultured prokaryote
Description: partial 16S ribosomal RNA
Rfam family: Bacterial small subunit ribosomal RNA
Source: RNAcentral